CGAUAACGAACGAGACCUUAACCUGCUAAAUAGCCAGGCUAGCUUUGGCUGGUCGCCGGCUUCUUAGAGGGACUAACAGCGUUUAGCUGUUGGAAGUUUGAGGCAAUAACAGGUCUGUGAUGCCCUUAGAUGUUCUGGGCCGCACGCGCGCUACACUGACUGAGCCAGCGAGUUCAUUUCCUUUAUCGGAAGAUAUGGGUAAUCUUUUGAAACUUCAUCGUGCUGGGGAUAGAGCAUUGCAACUAUUGCUCUUGAACGAGGAAUCCCUAGUAAGUACAAGUCACUAGCUUGUGCUGAUUACGUCCCUGCCCUUUGUACACACCGCCCGUCGCUACUACCGAUUGAAUGGCU
This 351-nucleotide ribosomal RNA is filed under the name uncultured fungus. RNAcentral's name for it is "SSU rRNA". It matches the Rfam family "Eukaryotic small subunit ribosomal RNA", at positions 1326 to 1698 of the family's 1831-position model. The record is from RNAcentral. Lineage: Eukaryota; Fungi.